AUACGGAGGGGGCUAGCGUUGUUCGGAAUUACUGGGCGUAAAGCGUACGUAGGCGGACUGAUCAGUUGGGGGUGAAAUCCCAGGGCUUAACCCUGGAACUGCCUUCAAUACUGUCAGUCUUGAGUUUUGGAGAGGUGAGUGGAAUUCCUAGUGUAGAGGUGAAAUUCAUAGAUAUUAGGAGGAACACCAGUGGCGGAGGCGGCUCACUGGCCCAUUACUGACGCUGAGGUACGAAAGCGUGGGGAGCAAACAGGAUUAGAUACCCUAGUAGUCC
RNAcentral lists this ribosomal RNA (274 nucleotides) under uncultured bacterium. Its description in RNAcentral is "partial 16S ribosomal RNA". It matches the Rfam family "Bacterial small subunit ribosomal RNA", at positions 523 to 796 of the family's 1533-position model. The record is from RNAcentral.